CCCAGACUCCUACGGGAGGCAGCAGUGGGGAAUAUUGGGCAAUGGGCGCAAGCCUGACCCAGCAACGCCGCGUGAAGGAAGAAGGCUUUCGGGUUGUAAACUUCUUUUGACAGGGAAGAGCAGAAGACGGUACCUGUCGAAUAAGCCACGGCUAACUACGUGCCAGCAGCCGCGGUAAUACGUAGGUGGCAAGCGUUGUCCGGAUUUACUGGGUGUAAAGGGCGUGUAGGCGGGACUGCAAGUCAGAUGUGAAAACCAUGGGCUCAACCUGUGGCCUGCAUUUGAAACUGUAGUUCUUGAGUACUGGAGAGGCAGACGGAAUUCCUAGUGUAGCGGUGAAAUGCGUAGAUAUUAGGAGGAGCACCAGUGGCGAAGGCGGCCUGCUGGACGACAACUGACGGUGAGGCGCGAAAGCGUGGGGAGCAAACAGGAUUAGAUACCCGUGUAA
This 448-nucleotide ribosomal RNA is filed under the name uncultured bacterium. RNAcentral's name for it is "bacterial SSU rRNA". It matches the Rfam family "Bacterial small subunit ribosomal RNA", at positions 330 to 793 of the family's 1533-position model. The record is from RNAcentral.